UACAGAGACUGCAAGCGUUAUUCGGAUUCACUGGGCGUAAAGGGUGCGCAGGCGGCCAAGUGUGUGAGGCGUGAAAGCCUGGAGCUUAACUCCAGAACUGCCUUUGAUACUGAAGAUCUUGAGUUCGGGAGAGGUGGAGUGGAACUGCGAGUGUAGAGGUGAAAUUCGUAGAUAUUCGCAAGAACACCAGUGGCGGAAGGCGGACUCACUGGCCCGAUACUGACGCUGAGGUGCGAAAGCGAUGGGGAGCCAAAGCUAGG
This 260-nucleotide ribosomal RNA is filed under the name uncultured bacterium. Its description in RNAcentral is "partial 16S ribosomal RNA". It matches the Rfam family "Bacterial small subunit ribosomal RNA", at positions 524 to 779 of the family's 1533-position model. The record is from RNAcentral.